UACGUAGGGUGCGAGCGUUAAUCGGCAUUACUGGGCGUAAAGCGUGCGCAGGCGGCUUUGCAAGACAGAUGUGAAAUCCCCGGGCUCAACCUGGGAACUGCAUUUGUGACUGCAAGGCUAGAGUACGGCAGAGGGGGAUGGAAUUCCGCGUGUAGCAGUGAAAUGCGUAGAUAUGCGGAGGAACACCAAUGGCGAAGGCAAUCCCCUGGGCCUGUACUGACGCUCAUGCACGAAAGCGUGGGGAGCAAACAGG
Molecule: ribosomal RNA, 253 nt
Filed under: uncultured bacterium
Lineage: Bacteria
Description: partial 16S ribosomal RNA
Rfam family: Bacterial small subunit ribosomal RNA
Source: RNAcentral